This 406-nucleotide ribosomal RNA is filed under the name uncultured bacterium. Its description in RNAcentral is "partial 16S ribosomal RNA". It matches the Rfam family "Bacterial small subunit ribosomal RNA", at positions 30 to 526 of the family's 1533-position model. The record is from RNAcentral.
AUUGAACGCUGGCGGCAGGCUUAACACAUGCAAGUCGAGCGAGCGGCGGACGGGUGAGUAAUGUCUGGGAAACUGCCUGAUGGAGGGGGAUAACUACUGGAAACGGUAGCUAAUACCGCAUACCAUCAGAUGUGCCCCUAUGGGAUUAGCUAGUAGGUGGGGUAAUGGCUCACCUAGGCGACGAUCCCUAGCUGGUCUGAGAGGAUGACGCGCAAAACGGGAACUCAGACACGGUCCAGACUCCUACGGGAGGCAGCAUUGGGGAAUAUUGGACAAUGGGCUGAAGCCUGAUGCAGCCAGGCCGGGUGGGUGAAGAAGGCCUUCGGGUUGUAAAGCACUUUCAGCGAGGAGGCGUUACUCGCAGAAGAAGCACCGGCUAACUCCGUGCCAGCAGCCGCGGUAAUAC